This 631-nucleotide ribosomal RNA is filed under the name uncultured archaeon. RNAcentral's name for it is "bacterial SSU rRNA". It matches the Rfam family "Archaeal small subunit ribosomal RNA", at positions 1 to 613 of the family's 1478-position model. The record is from RNAcentral.
UUCCGGUUGAUCCCGCCGGACCCCACUGCUAUCGAGGUGGGACUAAGCCAUGCUAGUUGAGCGCACAGAACUAUGUCUGUGAGCGGCACACUGCUCAGUAACACGUAGCUAACCUACCCUUAGGACGUGGACAACCCCGAGAAAUUGGGGCUAAUCCGCGAUAGAUGUAUUGUCCUGGAAUGGGAUUACGUCUAAAGGUAUCCCAUACAUGUUUGGUAUACGCCUAAGGAUGGGGCUGCGGCCGAUCAGGCUGUUGGUGAGGUAAUGGCUCACCAAACCUUUGACCGGUACGGGCCAUGAGAGUGGAAGCCCGGAGAUGGACACUGAGACAAGGGUCCAGGCCCUACGGGGCGCAGCAGGCGCGAAACCUCCUCAAUGCACUUACGUGCGAAGGGGCUACCUCGAGUGCCACCUGAUGAAGGUGGCUUUUCCUAGGUCUAAAAAGCCUUGGGAAUAAGAGGGGGGCAAGACUGGAGUCAGCCGCCGCGGUAACACCAGCCCCUCGAGUGGAGGGGAUGAUUAUUGGGCCUAAAGCGUCCGCAGCCUGCCGUAUAAGUUUCCCGCUAAAUCCAGCGUCUCAAGCGUUGCACUGCGGGAAAUACUGUACGGCUAGAGAGUGGGAGAGGACAGC